AUGGCAAAGAAGGCCGCAAAGCGAGCUGUUGGUGAAGCAAGGGGUCGGGCAUAUGAGGACCUCUACCAACGGUUAGGCACGAAGGAAGGCGAAAGGGACAUCUAUAAGAUGGCCAAGAUCCGAGAGAGGAAGACGAGGGAUAUUGGCCAAGUCAAAUGCAUCAAGGACGGAGCAGGCCAACUCUUGGUGAAGGACGAGGAGAUUAAGCAUAGAUGGCGGGAGUACUUCGACAAGCUGUUCAAGGGGGAGAAUGAGAGUUCUACCAUUGAGCUGGACGACUCCUUUGAUGAGACCAACAUGCGUUUUGUGCGGCGAAUCCAGGAGUCUGAGGUCAAGGAGGCUUUAAAAAGGAUGAAAGGAGGCAAGGCGAUGGGCCCAAAUUGUAUCCCCAUUGAGGAGUGGAAAGGUCUCGGGGACAUAGCGAUAGUAUGGCUAACCAAGCUUUUCAACCUCAUUUUUCGGGCAAACAAGAUGCCAGAAGAAUGGAGACGGAGUAUAUUAGUACCAAUCUUCAAGAACAAGGGGGAUGUUCAGAGUUGUACUAAUUACCGUGGAAUUAAGCUGAUGAGCCAUACAAUGAAGGUAUGGGAGAGAGUCAUUGAGCACCGCUUAAGAAGAAUGACAAGCGUGACCAAAAAUCAGUUUGGUUUCAUGCCUGGGAGGUCGACCAUGGAAGCCAUUUUCCUGGUACGACAACUUAUGGAGAGAUAUAGGGAGCAAAAGAAGGACUUGCAUAUGGUGUUCAUUGACUUGGAGAAGGCCUAUGAUAAGAUACCGCGGAAUGUCAUGUGGUGGGCCUUGGAGAAACACAAAGUCCCAGCAAAGUACAUUACCCUCAUCAAGGACAUGUACGAUAAUGUUGUGACAAGUGUUCGAACAAGUGAUGUCGACACUGAUGACUUCCUGAUUAAGAUAGGACUGCAUCAGGGGUCAGCUUUGAGCCCUUAUCUUUUUGCAUUGGUGAUGGAUGAGGUCACAAGGGAUAUACAAGGAGAUAUCCCAUGGUGUAUGCUCUUUGUGGAUGAUGUCGUGCUAGUUGACGAUAGUCGGACGGGAGUAAAUAGGAAGUUAGAGUUAUGGAGACAAACCUUGGAAUCGAAAGGGUUUAGGCUUAAUAGAACUAAAACCGAGUACAUGAUGUGCGGUUUCAGUACUACUAGGUGUGAGGAGGAGGUUAGCCUUGAUGGCCAGGUGGUACCUCAGAAGGACACCUUUCGGUACUUGGGGUCAAUGCUGCAGGAGGAUGGGGGUAUUGAUGAAGAUGUGAACCAUCGAAUCAAAGCCGGGUGGAGAAGUGGCGCCAAGCUUCUGGCAUUCUCUGUGACAAGAGUGUGCCACAAAAGCUAA
Molecule: ribosomal RNA, 1347 nt
Filed under: Triticum aestivum (bread wheat)
Lineage: Eukaryota; Viridiplantae; Streptophyta; Magnoliopsida; Poales; Poaceae
Description: partial small subunit ribosomal RNA
Source: RNAcentral